Molecule: ribosomal RNA, 843 nt
Filed under: Triticum aestivum (bread wheat)
Lineage: Eukaryota; Viridiplantae; Streptophyta; Magnoliopsida; Poales; Poaceae
Description: partial small subunit ribosomal RNA
Source: RNAcentral
AUGGCGAUGGCAAGGGUGCCCAUCCUCAUCGCGGUAGCUCUCGUGGCUGCAGCGGCCUCCUGCAGCGCAUGGGAGCCCACCAUCCGUAUGCCAACGGCCGAGGCUGCAGCUGCUGCGGUCGACGACGCGGUGGCGCCGCUCAUCCACGCACUGCGCCCGCUGCUGGGCUCCAGCGGAGAGCUCGGCAGCCGCGGCGGCGUGCCGUGCGACAGCUGGAGGCUGGGCGUGGAGGCGUACAACGUGCGUGACUGGAAGACUGUCCCCGCCAACUGCGAGGGCUACGUGGGGCACUACAUGCUCGGCAGCCACUUCCGGCGCGACUCCAAGGUCGUCAUCGACCAGGCCAUUGCCUACGUCGACAGCCUCAAGCUCGCCAGCAACGGCAAGGAGGUGUGGGUCUUCGACAUCGACGAGACCACGCUCUCCAACCUCCCUUACUACGCCACGCACGGCUUCGGGGCUAGGCCAUACAACGCGACGAGCUUCGACGCGUACGUGCUGGAGGGGACCGCGCCGGCGCUGCCGGAGAGUAAGCGGCUGUACUACAAGCUGCUCAAGGUGGGCAUCAAGCCGGUGUUCAUCACAGGCCGGACGGAAGACAAGAGGGCCAUCACCGUCGCCAACCUCCGCAGCCAGGGCAUCUCCGGGUGGAUGAACCUGACGCUCAAGCAGCCCGGGUUCCAUGGCUCCGCGAUAUCCUACAAGUCCGCCCAGAGGAAGAAGCUGCAGGACGCCGGGUAUGUCAUCGUUGGCAACAUCGGCGACCAGUGGAGCGACCUCCUCGGCGCGCCCGAGGGAGCUCGUACUUUCAAGCUGCCCGACCCACUCUACUACAUCGGCUAG